AUUGAACGCUGGCGGCAGGCCUAACACAUGCAAGUCGAGCGGAUGAAGGGAGCUUGCUCCUGGAUUCAGCGGCGGACGGGUGAGUAAUGCCUAGGAAUCUGCCUGGUAGUGGGGGAUAACGUCCGGAAACGGGCGCUAAUACCGCAUACGCCCUGAGGGAGAAAGUGGGGGAUCUUCGGACCUCACGCUAUCAGAUGAGCCUAGGUCGGAUUAGCUAGUUGGUGGGGUAAAGGCCUACCAAGGCGACGAUCCGUAACUGGUCUGAGAGGAUGGUCAGUCACACUGGAACUGAGACACGGUCCAUACUCCUACGGGAGGCAGCAGUGGGGAAUAUUGGACAGUGGGCGAAAGCCUGAUCCAGCCAUGCCGCGUGUGUGAAGAAGGUCUUCGGAUUGUAAAGCACUUUAAGUUGGGAGGAAGGGCAGUAAGUUAAUACCUUGCUGUUUUGACGUUACCAACAGAAUAAGCACCGGCUAACUUCGUG
RNAcentral lists this ribosomal RNA (484 nucleotides) under uncultured bacterium. RNAcentral describes it as "partial 16S ribosomal RNA". It matches the Rfam family "Bacterial small subunit ribosomal RNA", at positions 30 to 507 of the family's 1533-position model. The record is from RNAcentral.